Molecule: small nuclear RNA, 104 nt
Filed under: Zalophus californianus (California sea lion)
Lineage: Eukaryota; Metazoa; Chordata; Mammalia; Carnivora; Otariidae
Source: RNAcentral
GCUUGCUUCAGCAGCGCAGAUACUAAAAUUGGACUGAUACAGAGAAGAUUAGCAUGGCCCCUGCAAAGGAUGACAUACAAAUUCUUGAAGCAUGAAGCAUAAAA